This 282-nucleotide long non-coding RNA is filed under the name Homo sapiens (human). Its description in RNAcentral is "HSALNT0160243". Lineage: Eukaryota; Metazoa; Chordata; Mammalia; Primates; Hominidae. The record is from RNAcentral.
AGUAACAUGCCGAGGUCUUGUAGAGGGCACAAAUGCAGCCCCACAGUCUCACAGCAGAGCCCGCAGCACUGCACCACACUGACGCCUGAGCAAAGUUCACUCCCUGACUGGAGAGCCACAGAGGCACGACCGAAGGUCAGGGGACAGGGUUUCCUAGCAUCCGCGAGCCUUACAGAAAGGCAACUGUGCAGUGCUCCAGCUGGCUUUCUCAUGGAGAGUCAACAGAGACAUUUCCCCUCCAGUAGAACACAGACCGUCUCUCCCCUCCCCCUUGUUGGUUUU